Molecule: ribosomal RNA, 456 nt
Filed under: uncultured bacterium
Lineage: Bacteria
Description: bacterial SSU rRNA
Rfam family: Bacterial small subunit ribosomal RNA
Source: RNAcentral
UACGGGAGGCAGCAGUGGGGAAUAUUGCACAAUGGGCGAAAGCCUGAUGCAGCUAUGCCGCGUGUAUGAAGAAGGCCUUAGGGUUGUAAAGUACUUUCAUCGGGGAGGAAAAAACAAAACUAAUAAUUUUAUUCUUGACGUUACCCGAAAAAGAAGCACCGGCUAACUCCGUGCCAGCAGCCGCGGUAAUACGGGGGUGCUAGCGUUAAUCAGAAUUACUGGGCGUAAAGAGCACGUAGGUGGUUUUUUUAAAGUCAGAUGUGAAAUCCCUGGGCUUAACCUAGGAACUGCAUUUUGAAACUGAAAUACUAGAGUAUCGUAGAGGGAGGUAGAAUUCUAGGUGUAGCGGUGAAAUGCGUAGAUAUCUGGAGGAAUACCUGUGGCGAAAGCGGCCUCCUAAACGAAUACUGACACUGAGGGUGCGAAAGCGUGGGGAGCAAACAGGGAUUAGAUACC